ACUCCUACGGGAGGCAGCAGUGGGGAAUUUUGGACAAUGGGCGAAAGCCUGAUCCAGCAAUGCCGCGUGAGUGAAGAAGGCCUUCGGGUUGUAAAGCUCUUUUGUCAGGGAAGAAACGGUGAAAGCUAAUAUCUUUUGCUAAUGACGGUACCUGAAGAAUAAGCACCGGCUAACUACGUGCCAGCAGCCGCGGUAAUACGUAGGUUGCAAGCGUUAAUCGGAAUUACUGGGCGUAAAGCGUGCGCAGGCGGUUUUGUAAGUCUGAUGUGAAAUCCCCGGGCUCAACCUGGGAAUUGCAUUGGAGACUGCAAGGCUAGAAUCUGGCAGAGGGGGGUAGAAUUCCGCGUGUAGCAGUGAAAUGCGUAGAUAUGUGGAGGAACACCGAUGGCGAAGGCAGCCCCCUGGGUCAAGAUUGACGCUCAUGCACGAAAGCGUGGGGAGCAAACAGGAUUAGAAACCCGAGUAGUCCCAUGAU
This 475-nucleotide ribosomal RNA is filed under the name uncultured organism. RNAcentral describes it as "partial 16S ribosomal RNA". It matches the Rfam family "Bacterial small subunit ribosomal RNA", at positions 335 to 801 of the family's 1533-position model. The record is from RNAcentral.